This 450-nucleotide ribosomal RNA is filed under the name uncultured bacterium. RNAcentral describes it as "partial 16S ribosomal RNA". It matches the Rfam family "Bacterial small subunit ribosomal RNA", at positions 338 to 795 of the family's 1533-position model. The record is from RNAcentral.
CCUACGGGGGGCUGCAGUGGGGAAUUUUGGACAAUGGGGGCAACCCUGAUCCAGCCAUUCCGCGUGAGUGAAGAAGGCCUUCGGGUUGUAAAGCUCUUUCGGCCGGGAAGAACUCGCAUCUCCUAAUACGGGGUGUGGAUGACGGUACCGGAAGAAGAAGCACCGGCUAACUACGUGCCAGCAGCCGCGGUAAUACGUAGGGUGCGAGCGUUACUCGAAAUUAGUGGGGACAAAGCAUGAGCAGGCGUCUGAAAUCCCCGGGCUUAACCUGGGAACUGCGUUUGUGACUGGUGGGCUUGAGUGCGGCAGAGGGGGGUGGAAUUCCACGUGUAGCAGUGAAAUGCGUAGAGAUGUGGAGGAACACCGAUGGCGAAGGCAGCCCCCUGGGUCGACACUGACGCUCAUGCACGAAAGCGUGGGGAGCAAACAGGAUUAGAUACCCUUGUAGUC